RNAcentral lists this transfer RNA (66 nucleotides) under Aulacophora indica. RNAcentral's name for it is "tRNA-Tyr". The record is from RNAcentral. Lineage: Eukaryota; Metazoa; Arthropoda; Insecta; Coleoptera; Chrysomelidae.
GAUAAAAUGGCUGAAUUUAGGCAAUAAACUGUAAAUUUAUGUAUAAAGAGUAUUCUUUUUUUAUCA